CGCUUUGCUGUUGUGCAGCCUCCAGCUCUGAACUGUCCAGGUGUUCCUCGAAGGAACCCCCACAGCGAGGAAGAGGAAUCUGACCAGCAGGAAACAAUGUACAGAAAGACUUCUACAGCGAGAAAGGAAUCGGAUUGGCAGUGUACUUCCAGCUUCAGUGGGAAAAAUGUUGUCCUUCAGGCAGUUGGCUCCACACCGACUGCAAAUUGACAGCAGUGACCUCGAUACUGCUGGAACGACCAUCUCAUUUACAAGUACUGCAAGUCAUAAGUGAGCUUCAACUGGGAAUGGCAAGCGUCUUUUUUGAAGAUUUUGAAGCAGCCCGCGACCCAAGUGAGGAUAAGCGGUAAAGAAAAUGAAUGGAUGGAAAAUUUUAAUUUGAAUGUGGACAGCAACACUGCCGUCUCGUGGAUGGAGGGAGGACCUUCCCACACGUUUGAUUUUUUUUUCAACUUGAAACUGUUACGUUUGUCUCAAAAAGAAAUGUGCGAGCCUGCUGAUCCACAAAUGCACCUCCAACAAUUCACAACCCAAAUUUAAUAUUUACAAAUGAUAAGUCCUGAUAAAUGUAAACACAACAUUAAAAAAAACACGUGUAAAUCACUAAUAUAUUUGUGGAUUUGAAAAACACACUUGUGAAUUGCGGCUAUACAACGCCAAUUCCAAUGAAAUUGAGACGUUGUGUUAAACAUAAAUAAUAACAGAAUACCGUAUUUUCACGACCCUAAGACACACCGUAUUAAAAGGCGCAGUCUCAGUUACGGGGUCGAGUUCUGUAUUUAACACAGAACUAAGGCGCACCGUAUUAUUGAGCGCAGGCAUGGUAAAACAUACGCUAGCUAAAAACAUACGGUAGCAUGCAUGCACGCUAAAACAAUGUUUAUAAAAAGGCAGCGGGAGCAAAACUGAGUUCAGUUGUACUUUAUUGAAGUAAUUCAUAAUGUACUCACGUUAUUUUUUGAUCAAUCCUCAUCCACAAAUCCAUCAAACUCUUCAUGUUCUGUAUCCGAAAUGAGCAGCUGGGCAAGUUCUCAAUCAAACACGCCAGGUUCGAGUCAGUCUCGUUGCCGUACGGCUCCUCAGAAAUGAUGCCGGCUUUUACCAAGCAGACACGUUAGCCCAAGCAUCCACAAUCCAUUCACAAAUUGUGGCGUAACUCGCCGGGCGCUGCCUCCUAGUCUUAGUAAAGCUGUGUUUGCCAUCUGUCAUCCAUGACUCCCACGCCACUCGCAACUUCAUUUUGAACGCCCUGUUGAGAACAAUGUCCAGCGGAGUUCCUUCGUCAAGCCUCCCGGAAUGAUGGCAAGCUCCGAGUUAUUGCACUCAGUCGAAUGGUGACUGUAGAGACGCUUCUCCCGGCUGUUCUUUGCUCAUUAAUCCAUUGCUCGAGUUGGUCUUCCAACUCGGGCCACCUCGCCUUGUUUUCACGUUUUGUUUUUCUUUUUUUUCCACGGAAACUCAGCUUCGUCUUCUUGACUUGGCGAAGCUCGUUUUCCUGCUUCCUCUACUUGCGAACCAUGAAUUUGUUGAUCUUGAAUUCUCUCGCGGUUGCUCGAUUCCCAUGUUCCUCCGCGUAGCUAAUAGCUUGCAGUUUAAACUGUGAUUUGUAAACGUGUCUCUUCGUCUCUAAGCCAAACCGAUGUUGUUUUGCACAAUGCACAUACCGGCACUAUAUACCUACAGGGGGCGUGCCUUUAGCGUCCUCAUUCACGCACACCCUUCCCCCUUUACACCCGCAUUCCGUCCUCAGCCACGUCCGCUUUUCCUCUGUAUAAGCAGUGUGUCAUGUGUGUGUGUGUUCCGGGUUUUGUCUUCCCCCCUGUUUCACACACACCUGCUCAGUGAGCAUCUUCACCACCUGUGCCUCGUUCAACCUAAUUACCCCUUGUAUUUAACCUCGUGUCUCAUUCCCUCUCGUUGCCAGUUCGUUGUACCUUGUCGUCGCGUUCCAGCAUUCCUUGUUUCCACGUCACAGACUCAGUAAGACUUGACCCUGUUCCGAUUAUCGACCUUGCCUCCUUGCCUCAUGUUUUUGGAUACUGUUGCCUUUCUUGGAUUGCCUUGGAUUGCCUGCCUGUGUACCGACCUAUGCCCUAAACCUCUCUUUUUGGAAACUGUCCAUUUGUUUUGGAGUCGUGCAUUUUUGGGUCCUAUCCUCUGUUCCGUUCAUGACACAGUGUGUCGGCAGGAAAUGCUCCCAGUCAGUCAAGCGGAGCGCUCAUCACAUAACAACAUUUAUAGAUUUUGGAACUCGGUGCACACAUAAGGCACGCUGCAUUAUAAGGCGCCCCGUCCAUUUUGGAGAAAAUUUAAGACUUUUAAGUGCGCCUUAUGGUCAUGAAAAUACGGUACAAUGAUUUGCAAAUCAUGUUCAACCUAUAUUUAAUUGAACACACUACAAAUACAAGAUAUUUCAUGUUCAAACUGAUCAACUUUAUUGUUUUGAGCAAAUAAUCAUUAACUUUGAAUUUUAUGGCUGCAACACAUUCCAAAAAAGCUUGGACAGGUGGCAAAAAAGACUGGGAAAGUUGAGGAAUGCUCAUCAAACACCUGUUUGGAACACCCCACAGGUGAACAGGCUAAUUGGGAACAGGUGGGUGCCGUGAUUGGGUAUAAAAGGAGCUUCCCUGAAUUGCUCAGUCAUUCACAAGCAAAGAUGGGGCGAAGUUCACCUCUUUGUGAACAAGUGCGUGAGAAAGUAGUCAAACAGUUUAAGGACAAUGUUCCUCGACGUACAAUUGCAAGGGAUUUAGGGAUUUCCCCAUCUACGGUCCAUAAUAUAAUCAAAAGGUUCAGAGAAUCUGGAGAAAUCACUGCAUGUAAGCGGCAAGGCCGAAAACCAACAUUGAAUGCCCGUGACCUUCGAUCCCUCAGGCGGCACUGCAUCAAAAACUGACAUCAAUGUGUAAAGGAUAUCACCACAUGGGCUCAGGAACACUUCAGAAAACCAAUGUCAGUAAAUACAGUUCGGCGCGACAUCCGUAAGUGCAACUUGAAACUCUACUACCUACAAAGCUUCAACAAUUAGUGUCCUCAGUUCCCAAACGUUUAUUGAAUGUUGUUAAAAGAAAAGGUGAUGUAACACAGUGGUAAACAUGACCCUGUCCCAGCUUUUUGGAACGUGUUGCAGCCAUAAAAUUCUAAGUUAAUGAUUAUUUAUUAAAAACAACAAAGUUUAUCAGUUUGAACAUUAAAUAUCUUGUCUUUGUAGUGUAUUCAAUUAAAUAUAGGUUGAACAUGAUUUGCAAAUCAUUGCAUUCUGUUUUUAUUUAUGUUUAACACAACGUCCCAACUUCAUUGGAAUUGGGGUUGUAUUUGUGGAUUUGAAAAACAAGUGCAAAUAAUUUUGAGACAUAUCUCUCCCCAUACGGAUCGCACCAAGCUGGGCAUUCUGGGGCAGCGACGGUGUGUCCUUGCAGAUGAAUCUUUUACUAGCAUUGUAUGUUCUUUUAGUAAUUUUAAUAAACUGUCAUUUAUUUCUGUACUUUGUUUUGAAAUGUCUUUGCUCUUUGUUUUUAAAUGUUUUUCAAUGCACAGUACUUUUAAUCAUGUAAAACACAUUGACUUACCUUGUGCAUGAAAUGCACCUUGCCUUACCUUUCACACCCCUAACGCUUUAACUCUUGCACACCUCCAUGUAACUUUUUUGAAAGAGGAGGGGAAACUAUGUUAUUAUUAUGUAUGAUUAUUGUUAUUAUUAUUCGUAUUAUUAUAAGUUUGUCCGUGUCUAUAUGUGCCCUGCGACUGACUGGCGACCAGUUCAGGCUGUGGUCCGCCUUUUACCCGAAGUCAGCUGGGAUAGUCUCCAGCGCCCCGCGAGCCUAACCAGGAUAAGCGGUGUUGAAAAUGGAUGGAUUGUUUAUUAUUAUUAUCAACCAGCCAUUACACGUUUAAUCUUUGCCUCACCCAUCAAAGCACUGGCGCACCCCCAAGCAUGUGUGCGCUGGGAAUCCAUGCUGUAGGUGGGAUAUGGGAUACCCACUGCCUCAAUCUACAAGUACUUUCCACUAAAACAGCAGCUCUGCCACCCCAUAUAAAAUUUUAAUAUAUCCUCGCACCUUCUCACACUUUCAAUCUUGCGCACCCGAUGAGGGCACUGAAAUGUUCAUUUUAUGAGGAAAAAGACACUACGCGAAAGAAAACCAACAUAAAUGAUACCAUUACACUUUUAAUCUUGGCUACACCCCCAAGAGUGUGCGUGGACCUCAGUUUGGGAAUGCCCACUGCCCCAUUCUAUAAGUAAUUUCCACUAGAACAGCAGAUCUGCCGCAGUAUAAAACUUUAACUAUGUCCUCGCACCUUACAGUAUCUCAUUUGAAACAUUGAACUAUAAACAAAAUUUUACAUUUCCACAAAGCGU
Long non-coding RNA from Phyllopteryx taeniolatus (common seadragon), 4360 nucleotides. RefSeq lists it as uncharacterized. The record is from RefSeq and is a predicted model, not a curated record. The transcript has 3 exons. NCBI's taxonomy places the organism in Eukaryota, Metazoa, Chordata, Actinopteri, Syngnathiformes, Syngnathidae.